Molecule: ribosomal RNA, 828 nt
Filed under: Escherichia coli
Lineage: Bacteria; Pseudomonadati; Pseudomonadota; Gammaproteobacteria; Enterobacterales; Enterobacteriaceae
Description: partial 23S ribosomal RNA
Rfam family: Bacterial large subunit ribosomal RNA
Source: RNAcentral
CACUGAACAUUGAGCCUUGAUGUGUAGGAUAGGUGGGAGGCUUAGAAGUGUGGACGCCAGUCUGCAUGGAGCCGACCUUGAAAUACCACCCUUUAAUGUUUGAUGUUCUAACGUUGACCCGUAAUCCGGGUUGCGGACAGUGUCUGGUGGGUAGUUUGACUGGGGCGGUCUCCUCCUAAAGAGUAACGGAGGAGCACGAAGGUUGGCUAAUCCUGGUCGGACAUCAGGAGGUUAGUGCAAUGGCAUAAGCCAGCUUGACUGCGAGCGUGACGGCGCGAGCAGGUGCGAAAGCAGGUCAUAGUGAUCCGGUGGUUCUGAAUGGAAGGGCCAUCGCUCAACGGAUAAAAGGUACUCCGGGGAUAACAGGCUGAUACCGCCCAAGAGUUCAUAUCGACGGCGGUGUUUGGCACCUCGAUGUCGGCUCAUCACAUCCUGGGGCUGAAGUAGGUCCCAAGGGUAUGGCUGUUCGCCAUUUAAAGUGGUACGCGAGCUGGGUUUAGAACGUCGUGAGACAGUUCGGUCCCUAUCUGCCGUGGGCGCUGGAGAACUGAGGGGGGCUGCUCCUAGUACGAGAGGACCGGAGUGGACGCAUCACUGGUGUUCGGGUUGUCAUGCCAAUGGCACUGCCCGGUAGCUAAAUGCGGAAGAGAUAAGUGCUGAAAGCAUCUAAGCACGAAACUUGCCCCGAGAUGAGUUCUCCCUGACUCCUUGAGAGUCCUGAAGGAACGUUGAAGACGACGACGUUGAUAGGCCGGGUGUGUAAGCGCAGCGAUGCGUUGAGCUAACCGGUACUAAUGAACCGUGAGGCUUAACCUUACAACGCCGAAG